UUAAUAUGUUUAUAUUUCUU
RNAcentral lists this transfer RNA (20 nucleotides) under Cautires jasarensis. RNAcentral's name for it is "partial tRNA-Ser". The record is from RNAcentral. Lineage: Eukaryota; Metazoa; Arthropoda; Insecta; Coleoptera; Lycidae.